GCCUACUUUCUCAAAGUUCUGUUCCUACCAACUGUAUGGGAUGAACAGGAACAUCUGUUAAGUGUGUACUAUAAAUGUGGUAACGGUUUGACAUCUGUGAUAUUCUCUGAAGUUGCAGAUGCAGAGGACUUGAGGCCAUGUGCCACCUCAAGCCAGAGCGACAUUAGUCCAAGUGGCAGCCAGGAAGAAGCUGGCCAAGACAGAGCAUCAGAAUCAGACCAAGAGCUGCCAUCCCUGCUUGAUGAGCCUGUGGCUUCUGAGAUGCCUGCUGGAUACAUUAAAGGU
This is a long non-coding RNA of Coregonus clupeaformis (lake whitefish), 285 nucleotides long. RefSeq lists it as uncharacterized. The transcript is spliced from 3 exons. Lineage: Eukaryota; Metazoa; Chordata; Actinopteri; Salmoniformes; Salmonidae. The record is from RefSeq and is a predicted model, not a curated record.